Molecule: ribosomal RNA, 899 nt
Filed under: Peronospora aquilegiicola
Lineage: Eukaryota; Oomycota; Peronosporomycetes; Peronosporales; Peronosporaceae
Description: partial 28S ribosomal RNA
Rfam family: Eukaryotic large subunit ribosomal RNA
Source: RNAcentral
GGGAAUGCAGCGCAAAGUAGGUGGUAAAUUCCAUCUAAAGCUAAAUAUUGGUGCGAGACCGAUAGCGAACAAGUACCGUGAGGGAAAGAUGAAAAGAACUUUGAAAAGAGAGUUAAAGAGUACCUGAAACUGCUGAAAGGGAACCGAAUCGUUUCCAGUGUCUAUAAUCCGUGGCAUAUUUCAUUGGCGAGUGUGUGCGUGCGUGUGCUGUGGCAGCGGCCUUUUGGCUGCGCUUGGCGCAUGUGGUGUGCGUGCUUGCUGGUGCCCUGUGCUGCGGUGGGACGUCAACGUCAGUUCGUAUGCUGCGGGAAAUGGCUGCCGAGGAGGUAGGGCUUACGCUUGCGUUUGUCUGUUAUAUCUUGGUGGACGAGUCGUCGCGGUUGGGACUGAGGUGCCUACAACGUGCUUUUGAGUGGGUUUGUGUCUCCGUGUGUGCCAUGUGCGGAUAGCUUGCUAUGCGUGUGUGGUUAUGUGUGGAUUGAUACGGGCUUUAACUUGUUGCCGUUCGGGACGUUGACGAAAUGGAGCGAUCCGACCCGUCUUGAAACACGGACCAAGGAGUCUAACAUGUGUGCAAGUGUUAGGGUGUGGAAACCCCAGCGCGAAAUGAAAGUAAAGGGCAGUGCAAGCUGUCUGAGGUAGGAAACGUUGCGGGCUUCGGUCUGCGGCGUGGCACUAUCGACCGAUCAUGAACCUUCGUGGUGAAAGAUUUGAGUUUGAGCACAUAUGUUGGUACCCGAAAGAUGGUGAACUAUGCCUGAGUAGGGUGAAGCCAGGGGAAACUCUGGUGGAAGCUCGUAGCGAUUCUGACGUGCAAAUCGAUCGUCAAACUUGGGUAUAGGGGCGAAAGACUAAUCGAACCAUCUAGUAGCUGGUUCCCUCCGAAAUUUCCCUCAGGA